RNAcentral lists this long non-coding RNA (1343 nucleotides) under Salmo salar (Atlantic salmon). RNAcentral's name for it is "lncRNA (ENSSSAG00000086787.1, ENSSSAG00000091656.1)". Lineage: Eukaryota; Metazoa; Chordata; Actinopteri; Salmoniformes; Salmonidae. The record is from RNAcentral.
GUAUAGUGUAUAAUUUUUACUUUUCUAAACGUUAAAACAGAGCGUCGAAUGUUUGUUUACAUUGAGACAAAUGCCGGUGUAACACCUGAACCCCUGAAAACCAAUAUACAGAGAAGGGUUUUCGAGAGCUAACGUUAGCAUACUGUAGUUAUCAGCUGAUUUAGUAGUCACACCAUGAUUAACUGUAUAUGGCAAUAAGGAGACGACGACAGUCAUUAACACCAAAUGUAUAUACCGUUACUGUAUAGGUUAUUGGACGAUUUAGACGAUUUUAAAAUGUAAAAUAAACAAAAAUGCUCAAUCAAUUUUAGCUAGCUAGGUACAUUACCUUGGUUUGUUUCCGUAUGUGCGGAUUGGAUUUUGCGAAUCUUUGUUUCACUACUAACAAGUAAAUAGAGGGCACCGUAUCUCAAGACAUGACUGGAGAGAUAUGACUGGAGAGAAAAACUGUUUGGAGAACUGUACCUAGUCAAUGCACUUUGCUGUUUAAUGUAUGCAACUUGCUACUAUGAGUUCAGAUUCGGUUAUAUUGUUGGAGACGGUGACAUUUUCUGCUGAAAACCACCAAGAUCAACGGACUAAAGACCCCAAAGAAACCAACUAUCCAAUAGAGAGCUUCUUACUUCAUCCGGGAGGAGAAAGACACAGACCUGUAGACCAGGAGCCCAACAGACCCAUUGCUUCAUACCGAUCUCUCCUUUGUCAAAACAAACAGAAGACCUGCAUAUUUCGAUUUCCAAUGUUUACGGAGGAAAGGACUUACACAUCCAAGAGGAAGUCCUUCCAUCCUCUGAGGAGUCUAUUGACAACAAGACUCCCGUAACACUGAAAAACAAACUCCAUAAACCUAACAACCAACUUCCGACAAGAGCCGCAAAGCGAAGCAAAGCCCAAAACAAACUCAAAACACUCAACAGUAAACAGAAGAGAGGAGUGAAGAGGUGUCCAGUGGAUGGCUGCCAGGUCACCGUCAUUCACUUUCCUCGUCACCUGCGGCAGGUCCAUGAGUGGGGCAGAGAGGAGGCCCAGUCUGAAGUCGGCCUGAGAGCACCAAGCAGACAUGGUGGCAGCAGCAGCAAGGCUAAAAACAACCAUCACUCCAGGCCUUUCCCCAUGACAGGCUGUCAUGAAGUGGUCAAAAGACUGCCAGCCCACCAGAGAAAGCAACACAAGCUUGAAAAGAACUGUCCUCUAUACAGAGAGCUUCUUACAGCGUCACAGAAGAGAAAGAAGGCCGACUCAGACACCCUUUCUGAGGCCUGUAACAGAUACAGCAUAGAAAAACCAGCAUCAAUUCAUAUCCGAAGUGGUCACACCCAUUUACACACAGACCUUUUUUGUAG